This 627-nucleotide ribosomal RNA is filed under the name Sphingomonas sp. H302. RNAcentral's name for it is "bacterial SSU rRNA". It matches the Rfam family "Bacterial small subunit ribosomal RNA", at positions 83 to 745 of the family's 1533-position model. Lineage: Bacteria; Pseudomonadati; Pseudomonadota; Alphaproteobacteria; Sphingomonadales; Sphingomonadaceae. The record is from RNAcentral.
GCUUCGGCCUUAGUGGCGCACGGGUGCGUAACGCGUGGGAAUCUGCCCUUGGGUCCGGAAUAACAGUUAGAAAUGACUGCUAAUACCGGAUGAUGACUUCGGUCCAAAGAUUUAUCGCCCAGGGAUGAGCCCGCGUAGGAUUAGCUAGUUGGUGGGGUAAAGGCCUACCAAGGCGACGAUCCUUAGCUGGUCUGAGAGGAUGAUCAGCCACACUGGGACUGAGACACGGCCCAGACUCCUACGGGAGGCAGCAGUGGGGAAUAUUGGACAAUGGGCGAAAGCCUGAUCCAGCAAUGCCGCGUGAGUGAUGAAGGCCUUAGGGUUGUAAAGCUCUUUUACCCGGGAAGAUAAUGACUGUACCGGGAGAAUAAGCUCCGGCUAACUCCGUGCCAGCAGCCGCGGUAAUACGGAGGGAGCUAGCGUUGUUCGGAAUUACUGGGCGUAAAGCGCACGUAGGCGGCUUUGUAAGUUAGAGGUGAAAGCCUGGAGCUCAACUCCAGAACUGCCUUUAAGACUGCAUCGCUUGAAUCCAGGAGAGGUGAGUGGAAUUCCGAGUGUAGAGGUGAAAUUCGUAGAUAUUCGGAAGAACACCAGUGGCGAAGGCGGCUCACUGGACUGGUAUUGACG